This 129-nucleotide ribosomal RNA is filed under the name uncultured bacterium. RNAcentral's name for it is "partial 16S ribosomal RNA". It matches the Rfam family "Bacterial small subunit ribosomal RNA", at positions 355 to 478 of the family's 1533-position model. The record is from RNAcentral.
UGGGGAAUUUUGGACAAUGGGGGAAACCCUGAUCCAGCCAUGCCGCGUGUAUGAAGAAGGCCUUAGGGUUGUAAAGUACUUUUGUUAGGGAAGAAAAGCUAGUUUUAAUAAAAAUUAGUGAUGACGUAC